GGCCACCGCUAUUGGAAUUCGAUUAAGGCAUGCGAGUCUAAGGGACUUCGGUCCCUGGCAUACGGCUCAGUAACACGUGGACAAUCUGCCCUAAGGUGGGGAAUAAUCUCGGGAAACUGAGCAUAAUGCCCCAUAGGUCAUGGAGGCUGGAAUGCACCGUGAUCCAAAUCCUCAGGGGCCUAAGGAUGGAUCUGCGGUCGAUUAGGUUGUUGCCGGGGUAACGUCCCGACAAGCCUAUGAUCGAUACGGGUUGUGGGAGCAAUAGCCCGGAGAUGGAUUCUGAGACACGAAUCCAGGCCCUACGGGGCGCAGCAGGCGCGAAAACUUUACACUGCACGCAAGUGCGAUAAGGGGACUCCGAGUGUCCGUACACAGUACGGACUGUCCAGAUGCCUAAAAAGCAUCCGUUAGCAAGGGCCGGGCAAGACCGGUGCCAGCCGCCGCGGUAACACCGGCGGCUCGAGUGGUGGUCGCUAUUAUUGGGUCUAAAGGGUCCGUAGCCGGUCCAGCCAGUCCUUUGGGAAAUCUGACGGCUUAACCGUCAGGCUGCUAAGGGAUACUGCUGGACUUGGGACCGGGAGAGGCUAGAGGUAUUUCAGGGGUAGGAGUGAAAUCCUGUGAUCCUUGAAGGACCACCGGUGGCGAAGGCGUCUAGCUAGAACGGCUCCGACGGUGAGGGACGAAAGCUAGGGGCACGAACGGGAUUAGAUACCCCGGUAGUCCUAGCCGUAAACGAUGCGAGCUAGGUGUCAGCCUUUUUGCGAGAGAGGCCGGUGCCGUAGGGAAGCCGUGAAGCUCGCCACCUGGGAAGUACGGUCGCAAGGCUGAAACUAUAUGAAGUGGACUUCAUGCGUUUGCUUCAUUAGCAGCAAACUUAAAGGAAUUGGCGGGGGAGCACUACAACGGGUGGAUGCUGCGGUUUAAUUGGAUUCAACGCCGGAAACCUUACCGGAGGCGACAGCAGAAUGAAGGUCAGGCUGAAGACCUUACCAGACUUGCUGAGAGGUGGUGCAUGGCCGUCGUCAGUUCGUAUCGUGAGACAUCCUGUUAAGUCAGGCAACGAGCGAGACCCGCGCCCAUAGUUGCCAGCAGAUCCGCUCUUCGGAGUGGAUGAUGGGUACACUAUGGGGACCGCUGGUGCUAAACCAGAGGAAGGAACGGGCAACGGUAGGUCAGUAUGCCCCGAAUCUUCCGGGAUACACGCGGCAUACAAUGGACGGGACAAUGGGAAUCGACCCUGAGAGGGGGAGGCAAUCUCCUAAACCCGUUCGAAGUUCGGAUUGAGGGCUGCAACUCGCCCUCAUGAAGCUGGAAUCCGUAGUAAUCGCGCUUCAACAUAGCGCGGUGAAUACGUCCCUGCUCCUUGCACACACCGCCCGUCAAACCAACCGAGUGAGGCCUGGAUGAGGCUGCUCUCUUUGGAGUGGUCGAAUCUGGGUUUUAUAAGGGGGGUUAAGUCGUAAC
RNAcentral lists this ribosomal RNA (1464 nucleotides) under uncultured archaeon. Its description in RNAcentral is "16S ribosomal RNA". It matches the Rfam family "Archaeal small subunit ribosomal RNA". The record is from RNAcentral.